GAGUUUGAUCAUGGCUCAGAGUGAACGCUGGCGGCGUGCUUAACACAUGCAAGUCGAACGAGAACGGAUUAUAGCUUGCUAUAAUUGUCAGCUAAGUGGCAGCACGGGUGAGUAAUAUAUAGUUAACCUGCCCUCAAGAAAGGAAUAACAGUUGGAAACGACUGCUAAUGCCCUAUAUGCCUUUAAUACAUAAGUAUGCAAGGGAAACGCUUUAGUNGCUUGAGGAUGGGACUGUAUGGUAUCAGUUAGUNUGGUGAGGUAAUGGCUCACCAAGACUAUGACGCCUAACUGGUC
This 294-nucleotide ribosomal RNA is filed under the name uncultured bacterium. RNAcentral describes it as "partial 16S ribosomal RNA". It matches the Rfam family "Bacterial small subunit ribosomal RNA", at positions 9 to 292 of the family's 1533-position model. The record is from RNAcentral.